GCCUACGGCCAUACCAGCCUGGGUACGCCCGAUCUCGUCUGAUCUCGGAAGCUAAGCAGGGUCGGGCCUGGUUAGUACUUGAUGGGAGACCGCCUGGGAAUACCAGGUGCUGUAAGCA
Molecule: ribosomal RNA, 118 nt
Filed under: Salmo salar (Atlantic salmon)
Lineage: Eukaryota; Metazoa; Chordata; Actinopteri; Salmoniformes; Salmonidae
Source: RNAcentral